Molecule: ribosomal RNA, 253 nt
Filed under: uncultured bacterium
Lineage: Bacteria
Description: partial 16S ribosomal RNA
Rfam family: Bacterial small subunit ribosomal RNA
Source: RNAcentral
UACGUAGGGUGCAGGCGUUAAUCGGAAUUACUGGGCGUAAAGCGUGCGCAGGCGGUUUCUUAAGUCAGAUGUGAAAGCCCCGGGCUUAACCUGGGAACUGCGUUUGAAACUGGGAGACUUGAGUGUGGCAGAGGGGGGUGGAAUUCCACGUGUAGCAGUGAAAUGCGUAGAUAUGUGGAGGAACACCAAUAGCGAAGGCAGCCCCCUGGGUCAACACUGACGCUCAUGCACGAAAGCGUGGGGAGCAAACAGG